UUUACAAGAUAUUCUAAGUUUAUAUGAAAAUAAAGCUUUAAUAUAAGCUAAGAAACAAGAAACUAAACACUAGAAAUGUAGGAAAAGUGUAAGAGAAGAAAGAAAUCUCCAAAUCUGUUUGGAAAUAGUGUGGAAAAUGAUUGUGUCUCUUCAGCUGCUCCUUUUUCUCUUCUUCCUUUCUUUUUCUGCUCCCCCCUAAAAUGGGAAAUGAGGCUAUUUAUAACAUUUUCUGACAUGGAGUCCUAAAAUGGUGUGUUUUAGGAGAGAUUUUCAGGGAGAAUCUUCUGCCAGCUCAUUAAUGCACUUUUUAUGGGACUGCAUAAGUGGAC
Molecule: unclassified non-coding RNA, 329 nt
Filed under: Hevea brasiliensis (rubber tree)
Lineage: Eukaryota; Viridiplantae; Streptophyta; Magnoliopsida; Malpighiales; Euphorbiaceae
Source: RNAcentral